Molecule: ribosomal RNA, 1461 nt
Filed under: Vibrio sp. HENC-03
Lineage: Bacteria; Pseudomonadati; Pseudomonadota; Gammaproteobacteria; Vibrionales; Vibrionaceae
Description: bacterial LSU rRNA
Rfam family: Bacterial large subunit ribosomal RNA
Source: RNAcentral
CCUGGCGACGGUUGUCCAGGUUCAAGUGCGUAGGCUGAGAGAUUAGGUAAAUCCGGUUUCUCUUAAGGCUGAGACACGACGUCGAGCUACUACGGUAGUGAAGUCAUUGAUGCCAUGCUUCCAGGAAAAGCCUCUAAGCUUCAGAUUGUAAGGAAUCGUACCCCAAACCGACACAGGUGGUCGGGUAGAGAAUACCAAGGCGCUUGAGAGAACUCGGGUGAAGGAACUAGGCAAAAUGGUACCGUAACUUCGGGAGAAGGUACGCUCUUGAUGGUGAAGUCCCUCGCGGAUGGAGCUGACGAGAGUCGCAGAUACCAGGUGGCUGCAACUGUUUAUUAAAAACACAGCACUGUGCAAAAUCGUAAGAUGACGUAUACGGUGUGACGCCUGCCCGGUGCCGGAAGGUUAAUUGAUGGGGUUAGACUUCGGUCGAAGCUCUUGAUCGAAGCCCCGGUAAACGGCGGCCGUAACUAUAACGGUCCUAAGGUAGCGAAAUUCCUUGUCGGGUAAGUUCCGACCUGCACGAAUGGCGUAAUGAUGGCCACGCUGUCUCCACCCGAGACUCAGUGAAAUUGAAAUCGCUGUGAAGAUGCAGUGUACCCGCGGCUAGACGGAAAGACCCCGUGAACCUUUACUACAGCUUGGCACUGAACAUUGACCCUACAUGUGUAGGAUAGGUGGGAGGCUUUGAAGCAAGUACGCCAGUAUUUGUGGAGCCGUCCUUGAAAUACCACCCUUGUAGUGUUGAUGUUCUAACGUCGACCCCUAAUCGGGGUUGCGGACAGUGCCUGGUGGGUAGUUUGACUGGGGCGGUCUCCUCCCAAAGAGUAACGGAGGAGCACGAAGGUGGGCUAAUCACGGUUGGACAUCGUGAGGUUAGUGCAAUGGCAUAAGCCCGCUUGACUGCGAGAAUGACAAUUCGAGCAGGUGCGAAAGCAGGUCAUAGUGAUCCGGUGGUUCUGAAUGGAAGGGCCAUCGCUCAACGGAUAAAAGGUACUCCGGGGAUAACAGGCUGAUACCGCCCAAGAGUUCAUAUCGACGGCGGUGUUUGGCACCUCGAUGUCGGCUCAUCACAUCCUGGGGCUGAAGUCGGUCCCAAGGGUAUGGCUGUUCGCCAUUUAAAGUGGUACGCGAGCUGGGUUUAGAACGUCGUGAGACAGUUCGGUCCCUAUCUGCCGUGGGCGUUGGAAGAUUGAAGGGGGCUGCUCCUAGUACGAGAGGACCGGAGUGGACGAACCUCUGGUGUUCGGGUUGUGUCGCCAGACGCAUUGCCCGGUAGCUAAGUUCGGAAUCGAUAACCGCUGAAAGCAUCUAAGCGGGAAGCGAGCCCUGAGAUGAGUCUUCCCUGAUACUUUAAGUAUCCUAAAGGGUUGUUCGAGACUAGAACGUUGAUAGGCAGGGUGUGUAAGCGUUGUGAGGCGUUGAGCUAACCUGUACUAAUUGCCCGUGAGGCUUAACCAU